AUGCAAGUCGAACGCAGUAGCAAUACUGAGUGGCAGACGGGUGAGUAACAUGUGGGAAUCUGCCUUGUGGUUCAGGACAACAUUGGGAAACUGAUGCUAAUACUGGAUAAGCCCUUACGGGGAAAGUUUUAAUGCCAUAAGAUGAGCCCGCAUUUGAUUAGUUAGUUGGUGAGGUAAUGGCUCACCAAGACAAUGAUCAAUAGCUGAUCUGAGAGGAUGAUCAGCCACACUGGGACUGAGACACGGCCCAGACUCCUACGGGAGGCAGCAGUGGGGAAUCUUGCACAAUGGAGGAAACUCUGAUGCAGCGAUGCCGCGUGAGUGAAGAAGGCCUUUGGGUUGUAAAGCUCUUUUGUAGGGGAAGAUAAUGACUGUACCCUAAGAAUAAGGUCCGGCUAACUUCGUGCCAGCAGCCGCGGUAAUACGAAGGGACCUAGCGUAGUUCGGAAUUACUGGGCGUAAAGCGCGCGUAGGCCGUUGAGUUAGUUAAUUGUGAAAUCCCAAAGCUUAACUUUGGAACUGCAAUUAAAACUGCUCGACUAGAGUUUGAUAGAGGAAAGCGGAAUACAUAGUGUAGAGGUGAAAUUCGUAGAUAUUAUGUAGAACACCAGUUGCGAAGGCGGCUUUCUGGAUCAACACUGACGCUGAGGCGCGAAAGUAUGGGUAGCAAAGAGGAUUAGAUACCCUCGUAGUCCAUACCAUAAACGAUGAUUGCUAGAUGUUGGAAAUUUAUUUUCAGUAUCGCAGCUAACGCAUUAAGCAAUCCGCCUGGGGAGUACGACCGCAAGGUUAAAACUCAAAUGAAUUGACGGGGACCCGCACAAGCGGUGGAGCAUGUGGUUUAAUUCGAAGAUACGCGCAGAACCUUACCAACCCUUGACAUGUCUGUCGCGAGUUUAGGAAACUAGACUUUUUCGGUCGGCCGGACAGAACACAGGUGCUGCAUGGCUGUCGUCAGCUCGUGUCGUGAGAUGUUGGGUUAAGUC
Molecule: ribosomal RNA, 986 nt
Filed under: uncultured Pseudomonadota bacterium
Lineage: Bacteria; Pseudomonadati; Pseudomonadota
Description: bacterial SSU rRNA
Rfam family: Bacterial small subunit ribosomal RNA
Source: RNAcentral